RNAcentral lists this long non-coding RNA (875 nucleotides) under Monodelphis domestica (gray short-tailed opossum). RNAcentral describes it as "lncRNA (ENSMODG00000049588.1)". Lineage: Eukaryota; Metazoa; Chordata; Mammalia; Didelphimorphia; Didelphidae. The record is from RNAcentral.
UCUGCAUUCAGCCUCCAAAAAUAUUUCUCUGUUUACUAACAUGUCUGUCAGUUUUUUUCCUGUGUGUGUUUUGUUUUUAACUAGACUAAAAGACAUUUUAAUUUGAAAUCAAAUAGACAUGUUUGCAAAUAUAUGUUGACAGAAUAAAUUUAAAUGGCAGGAGAUAGGAGUUGUGAUUAGAAGCAUCACUGAGGCUGGGACCCACCACUGGCUCUGAGGACUGGCUUUACUGAGUGGGGAACUCUGCUUCCCAGCCUAUCACUACCACCAGGGAUACCUUCAUAGAAAUAAAGGAUAUACCUGAUUCUGCCUCAGAUUGUGAAAGAUGACCUAGGUAUUAGUGGGAUAUGUAGUUAAGGUAUGUAUGGGGAAAGUGAACAAGUGAGUCCUCAAUUACAACUGUGUUAUGGGGAAAAGUCAGGAUUUUGGAGCAGGGCAAUUUCCUGAGUAUAGCUAAAACUGACUUUAUUUCCUUUGUCAUUGUAGUUGACAAAACCUGGAACCAAAGGACCAUAGUCAUAAGGUCACUUUGCCUAACUUUCCACCCUAGACUGGAAUCCUGACAAGUACUCCUUUGAACAUUUCCAGGGAUCAGGGACUCUAUCUAGCACAUCUGGAGCUUCUUCAGUUGUGUCUCCUUUCUUGAUCCAGCAAGUACUUCUUGAAUCCAGAGGCACCUAAGGCAAACAGUCAGACCUGGAAUUAGAGGGAGGAAUCGCUGCCCAUGGGAGAAUGGAAUCCUAAGAAUUUCCCCUAUCAGCUUUGAAAGGUCAUUUAUUCUUGUAGCAUGGGAAUUUCCAGUGAGAAAGUCUAUCUUCUCUGACCCUUCUUCUCUACCUCCCUCCAUCCCAAGGUUAGUCUGCCCAGGGGGUAAA